GCGGCAGUAGUUCAGUGGCAGAAUGUUUCCUUCCCAAGGAAAAGGUCGCCGGUUCAAAUCCGGUCUGCCGCUCCA
RNAcentral lists this transfer RNA (75 nucleotides) under Candidatus Levybacteria bacterium CG10_big_fil_rev_8_21_14_0_10_35_13. Its description in RNAcentral is "tRNA-Gly". It matches the Rfam family "tRNA". From Rfam's summary of the family: Transfer RNA (tRNA) molecules are approximately 80 nucleotides in length. The record is from RNAcentral. Lineage: Bacteria; Candidatus Levyibacteriota.